This 261-nucleotide long non-coding RNA is filed under the name Capsicum annuum. RNAcentral describes it as "long non-coding RNA (CANN_LNC019183)". The record is from RNAcentral. Lineage: Eukaryota; Viridiplantae; Streptophyta; Magnoliopsida; Solanales; Solanaceae.
AGGAUUCCAAAGUUGCUAGUGGUGGAGAGUCUGGUGUCUCUUAUAUAGUGAGUGAUCUUGAGGGCUACAAAAUAGAGAAAAAUAUUGGGGUUGAUAAUAUUGAGACUGUGAGGGUGAAGUCAUUGUUGCUGUUAGACAGGGAAAAUAUGAUUAAAAAAAAGGUGUUAUGAUUGAUGAAUUUAGCGAGACGACAAUUCUUGGUGACCCACAAUUGAACCUGGUUUAUCUAUUGGGAUCAGCAAAGUUCGUGCAUCUAGUGAA